AGGCUAACGAGUAAAGAAAAAGAGUAAUGCUGAUGAGAAAACAAUUUGGGGGCAACCGUAAAAUCUUGAGCUUCUUAAACCCUUUCUCCCCAAACAUGAAUUUCAAAGAUUCUCGCCACCAUCCACCGCUCUCAUCAAUGUUUCACUUCUUAAUCAACAUCAACUUUCAAAUAUAGCUCUCUCUCUCUCUCUUCCGAUAAUUUCAUUCUCUUCUUUUUUUCUGCAGAGUACCUCAUUCACUUAGUUCCCUUGAUGUUCCCAAUUGUGAUUCGGGUUCCAUUCACUUCAUUUCUAUAUUCUCACACAAAUGAGAAAAAAAAAUUAACAGGCUCUUCUAUCCAGACAUUUUCGGGCUAUCGGCGGCUUCUUGAAGGAGACACAGAAGAUUUGAGAAUAUGUCUGGAUGCAAUAAAUCACCCAAAAAUGGUCAACAAUCAUUCAAAUAUUGGCGGAUUCAACACGGAGGGGCAUCCUCUGAGGCCGUUCUUUCUUGUGUAGAUUAUUCGCCAUCUCUUUCCACCAAUGAGAACAAGCAAUGCUAUGGAAGUUCUCAACCAAAGUCCCCUCAGAUACUGAGCACAUCUCAGCUCAUCUCGGCUAUAGGCCUGAUAUGGGAUUCUGCCAGUCGCCCGCUUUCGGUUUUACUUUCGAAGGAAACUGUGAAUCAGGAUGAUAAAGGAUUCCAGAAAGAGAAAAUUCUGGAUAGCGUUGAUGAGAGAAAAAAUGAUUUGGUAUAUGCUUCAACCGACAUUAAGUACUAUCCUGUUACUGAGGGAGGUGCACAGAUUGUGCAGGGAAAAUUGGAUUUCCCUAAGGUAAUGCAGAAGAUAUCAGUACUUGACUCUUCUAAUGAAAGUCAAGAUUAUAUUGAUUCUUUAUUCAAGAGGUGUUUGCUGGCUAGUGAUAAAACUACAAAUAAAGAUUGGAAAGAAAUGGAACUUAGGAGGGAGGAAAUGUCUUGUAAAUCAGGAAAUGUAUAUUGGUGGGUAGGUAGGAAUAUUACUAAGGCGCUAAAUUGUCAAGUGGAUGUUGCCCAACCUGAGAUCCCGGAAUCUAAUGCUCCAGUUGCUGGGGGUAACAUUUCAGUAGAUACAAGCACCCCUGCAUUGGCUAAUGAGAGUGACGUGUCUAGUCCUAAUUCAAUCACACAUGAAACUCAAUCAUUAUAUAAUGCUGCAACUCUGAACACAAGAAUAGUUAGCCCUCUUUGUUCAGACUAUUUUCUUCAAGCUGUGCCUGAUACUUGUCAGAUCCUUUCUUCUAGUAUCUGUGCGGACUAUCAUAUUAACUCUCUAGCUUCAUAUAAUAGUGCUUCUAAUCAGUGCCAACAUGAGAUUGAUGAUAACAAAUCUCUGGAAAUCCAAAGAAGGCAUUUCUUGGAUAUAGCUGAUGAUGAACCUAAGGUUCAGACCUCUGCAACCCAUCUAAAACCUUGUAAUUACCAAGCCAAGCAAGAACAUGUUUUUUCUGGGGCGUUAGCUGGUAUAUGUGUCAGCCUUUGUCUGCAUCCUGUUGACACAAUUAAGACAGUCAUUCAAGCAUGCCGUGCUGAACACAGGUCCAUCUUUUACAUUGGGAAGUCAAUUGUUUCUGAUAGAGGUUUGCUUGGACUGUAUCGUGGAAUUACCACAAACAUUGCAUGUUCAGCUCCAAUUUCUGCAGUUUAUACUUUCUCCUAUGAAUCAGUUAAAGCAGCUUUGCUUCCUCAUCUUCCAAAGGAGUAUUAUUCUUUUGCCCAUUGCAUGGGAGGUGGUUGUGCAAGCAUUGCCACCUCUUUCAUUUUUACUCCCAGUGAGCGAAUAAAGCAGCAGAUGCAAGUUGGUUCUCAUUAUCGCAACUGCUGCUCUUGUAAAAUUUCUGUGUGGUUUGGUCAUGUCAAAUAUAUAUUUCCUGUCAAGAGAUGCUUGUUAUGUCUGUGGAUGUAUUGGUUGGAAUUAUCAGAAAUGGUGGUUUUUCCUCCCUAUAUGCAGGUUGGAGAGCUGUACUAUGCCGGAACGUUCCACAUUCAAUUAUCAAGUUUUACACAUAUGAAAGCUUGAAGCAAGUGAUGCCAUCUAGUAUUCAACCCAACACAUUUCAGACUUUAGUGUGUGGAGGAUUAGCUGGAUCUACGGCUGCUUUAUUCACAACCCCUUUUGAUGUGAUCAAGACUAGAUUACAGACACAGAUUCCUGGGUCUGCAAAUCAAUAUGAUAGUGUGCUCCAUGCACUUUACAAAAUUAGUAAGAGUGAAGGAUUUAAGGGCCUGUACAGGGGGUUGAUUCCGAGGUUGAUUAUGUACAUGUCUCAAGGAUCACUGUUCUUUGCUUCAUAUGAAUUUUUCAAGAGGACAUUUUCUCUGGAAGCAUCACAUCCCACUGAUUUAUGCAUUCAGGACAAUGACGGGAAUGCUGAAGAGUGAAGAACGCAAAAACUUUGAAUUAACAGGUCCAUCAUAGGGUGUUCCAGCAGCAGCUUCCCCAAGUCUUGAUAGUUUGCAUUCUUGAUAACUUGAUAGUGUGUGGAAGAAACAUUUAAUUGUGCCACAAGCUGUAAGCAGUGUCAUACUAUAGAUUUAAAGAAUAAUGUUAAAUCCUUUUGUAACAUUAUCUUACAAGUCUUCCUAUUUAUUAAGUGAAGAAUGAAUUGAAAGCAUAGUGUUUUCAAGAUU
RNA transcript from Glycine soja, 2650 nucleotides. RefSeq lists it as uncharacterized. The transcript has 10 exons. The record is from RefSeq and is a predicted model, not a curated record. Lineage: Eukaryota; Viridiplantae; Streptophyta; Magnoliopsida; Fabales; Fabaceae.